RNAcentral lists this ribosomal RNA (436 nucleotides) under Clostridioides difficile. RNAcentral describes it as "bacterial LSU rRNA". It matches the Rfam family "Bacterial large subunit ribosomal RNA", at positions 260 to 699 of the family's 2925-position model. The record is from RNAcentral. Lineage: Bacteria; Bacillati; Bacillota; Clostridia; Peptostreptococcales; Peptostreptococcaceae.
CGGAUUAGCCCAAACCAAUAAAGUUUUCUUUAUUGGGGUUGCGGACAUAUCAUAACGAAGAGGUAUCGUAAUUGAAGAGGUUUGGAAAGACCCACCACAGAAGGUAAUAGUCCUGUAUGUUAAACGAGAAGACUUUAGAUAUGAUCCAGAGUACCACGGGACACGUGAAACCCUGUGGGAAGCAGGAGGGACCACCCUCCAAGGCUAAAUACUACCUAGUGACCGAUAGCGUAUAGUACCGUGAGGGAAAGGUGAAAAGAACCCCGGGAGGGGAGUGAAAUAGAACCUGAAACCCUGCACUUACAAGCUGUGGAAGCACAUUUCUUGUGUGACCGCGUACUUUUUGUAGAACGGGCCAACGAGUUACGUUAAGUAGCAAGGUUAAGCACUUAAGGUGCGGAGCCGUAGCGAAAGCGAGUUUUAACUGAGCGUUCAG